This 406-nucleotide ribosomal RNA is filed under the name uncultured bacterium. RNAcentral describes it as "partial 16S ribosomal RNA". It matches the Rfam family "Bacterial small subunit ribosomal RNA", at positions 30 to 526 of the family's 1533-position model. The record is from RNAcentral.
AUUGAACGCUGGCGGCAGGCUUAACACAUCCAAGUCGAGCGAGCGGCGGACGGGUGAGUAAUGUAUCGGAAACUGCAUGAUGGAGGGGGAUAACUACUGGAAACGGUAGCUAAUAACGCAUACCAUCAGAUGUGCCCAGAUGGGAUUAGCUAGUAGGUGGGGUAAUGGCUCACCUAGGCUACGAUACCUAGCUAGUAGGAGAGGAUGACGAGCCACACUGGAACUGAGACACGGUCCAGACUCCGACGGGAGGCAGCCGUGGGGAAUAUUGCACAAUGGUCGCAAGCCUGAUACAGCCAUGCCGGGUGUGUGAAGAAGGCCUUCGGUUUGUAAAGCACUUUCAGCGAGGCGGCGUUACGCGCAGAAGAAGCACCGGCUAACUCCGUGCCAGCAGCCGCGGUAAUAC